UACGUAGGGUGCAAGCGUUAAUCGGAAUUACUGGGCGUAAAGCGUGCGCAGGCGGUUUUGUAAGCCAGAUGUGAAAUCCCCGAGCUUAACUUGGGAACUGCGUUUGGAACUACAAGACUAGAGUGUGUCAGAGGGGGGUAGAAUUCCACGUGUAGCAGUGAAAUGCGUAGAGAUGUGGAGGAAUACCGAUGGCGAAGGCAGCCCCCUGGGAUAACACUGACGCUCAUGCACGAAAGCGUGGGGAGCAAACAGGAUUAGAUACCCUGGUAGUCCACGCCCUAAACGAUGUCUACUAGUUGUCGGGAGAGGAAUCUCUUGGUAACGCAGCUAACGCGUGAAGUAGACCGCCUGGGGAGUACGGUCGCAAGAUUAAA
This 374-nucleotide ribosomal RNA is filed under the name uncultured bacterium. RNAcentral describes it as "bacterial SSU rRNA". It matches the Rfam family "Bacterial small subunit ribosomal RNA", at positions 524 to 898 of the family's 1533-position model. The record is from RNAcentral.